GGCCCCCCGUGUAAUAAUCGAAGAUGGGGGGUCUGGCCUGCCCGGUGACGUGGUGUUAAACGGCUGCGGUAUCCUGACCGUGCAAAGGUAGCAUAAUAAUUUGCUCAUUAACUGUGGGCUAGUAUGAAUGGUUGGACGAGGGCGGAGCUGUCUCUUAGUGGGGUAUGUGGAAUUUAAUUUUUAGGUGAAGAGGCCUAAAUACAAUUAAGGGACGAGAAGACCCUGUCGAGCUUUAGUUAAAUUUUAAGGAGGAAUAGGAGUAGUUUACAUUUUAUUGUUAUUGAAUGGAAUCUUUGGUUGGGGCGAUCAGAAAGUAUAAGGAACCUUUCAUUAAGCUGGUGGUUGGUGGAUAAAAGAUCUGGUGUAUUUGUGCAGAUGUAAAGAAUAAGUUACCGCAGGGAUAACAGCGUAAUCUUUUUGGAGAGUUCUUAUUGAGAAAAGGGUUUGCGACCUCGAUGUUGGACUAAGAUAACCAAAUGGUGUAGCAGCUAUUAAGGGUUGUUCUGUUCGACCAUUGAAAUCUUACA
This 527-nucleotide ribosomal RNA is filed under the name Fissurella sp. MCZ Mala 378467_1. Its description in RNAcentral is "partial large subunit ribosomal RNA". It matches the Rfam family "Bacterial large subunit ribosomal RNA", at positions 1816 to 2600 of the family's 2925-position model. The record is from RNAcentral. Lineage: Eukaryota; Metazoa; Mollusca; Gastropoda; Lepetellida; Fissurellidae.